GAUGAACGCUGGCGGCGUGCCUAAUACAUGCAAGUCGAGCAAAUGGAUUAAGAGCUUGCUCUUAUGAAGUUAGCGGCGGACGGGUGAGUAACACGUGGGUAACCUGCCCAUAAGACUAGGAUAACUCCGGGAAACCGGGGCUAAUACCGGAUACCAUUUUGAACCGCAUGGUUCGAAAUUGAAAGGCGGCUUCGGCUGUCACUUAGGGAUGGACCCGCGUCGCAUUAGCUAGUUGGUGAGGUAACGGCUCACCAAGGCAACGAUGCGUAGCCGGCCUGAGAGGGUGAUCGGCCACACUGGGACUGAGACACGGCCCAGACUCCUACGGGAGGCAGCAGUAGGGAAUCUUCCGCAAUGGACGAAAGUCUGACGGAGCAACGCCGCGUGAGUGAUGAAGGCUUUCGGGUCGUAAAACUCUGUUGUUAGGGAAGAACAAGUGCUAGUUGAAUAAGCUGGCACCUUGACGGUACCUAACCAGAAAGCCACGGCUAACUACGUGCCAGCCGCCGCAGUAA
Molecule: ribosomal RNA, 515 nt
Filed under: uncultured bacterium
Lineage: Bacteria
Description: partial 16S ribosomal RNA
Rfam family: Bacterial small subunit ribosomal RNA
Source: RNAcentral